GCUCAGAUUGAACGCUGGCGGCAUGCCUUACACAUGCAAGUCGAACGGUAACAGGUCUUCGGAUGCUGACGAGUGGCGAACGGGUGAGUAAUACAUCGGAACGUGCCCGAUCGUGGGGGAUAACGGAGCGAAAGCUUUGCUAAUACCGCAUACGAUCUACGGAUGAAAGCAGGGGACCGCAAGGCCUUGCGCGGACGGAGCGGCCGAUGGCAGAUUAGGUAGUUGGUGGGAUAAAAGCUUACCAAGCCGACGAUCUGUAGCUGGUCUGAGAGGACGACCAGCCACACUGGGACUGAGACACGGCCCAGACUCCUACGGGAGGCAGCAGUGGGGAAUUUUGGACAAUGGGCGAAAGCCUGAUCCAGCCAUGCCGCGUGCAGGAUGAAGGCCUUCGGGUUGUAAACUGCUUUUGUACGGAACGAAAAGACUCCUUCUAAUAAAGGGGGUCCAUGACGGUACCGUAAGAAUAAGCACCGGCUAACUACGUGCCAGCAGCCGCGGUAAUACGUAGGGUGCAAGCGUUAAUCGGAAUUACUGGGCGUAAAGCGUGCGCAGGCGGUUAUAUAAGACAGAUGUGAAAUCCCCGGGCUCAACCUGGGAACUGCAUUUGUGACUGUAUAGCUAGAGUACGGUAGAGGGGGAUGGAAUUCCGCGU
RNAcentral lists this ribosomal RNA (655 nucleotides) under Ralstonia sp. enrichment culture. RNAcentral's name for it is "bacterial SSU rRNA". It matches the Rfam family "Bacterial small subunit ribosomal RNA", at positions 22 to 674 of the family's 1533-position model. The record is from RNAcentral. Lineage: Bacteria; Pseudomonadati; Pseudomonadota; Betaproteobacteria; Burkholderiales; Burkholderiaceae.